This 183-nucleotide ribosomal RNA is filed under the name Sternostoma turdi. Its description in RNAcentral is "5.8S ribosomal RNA". The stretch from base 2 to 153 matches the Rfam family "5.8S ribosomal RNA". Rfam says of the family: 5.8S ribosomal RNA (5.8S rRNA) is a component of the large subunit of the eukaryotic ribosome. It is transcribed by RNA polymerase I as part of the 45S precursor that also contains 18S and 28S rRNA. Lineage: Eukaryota; Metazoa; Arthropoda; Arachnida; Mesostigmata; Rhinonyssidae. The record is from RNAcentral.
UCAAUAUGGGGGAUCACUUAGUCCUUAGAGCGAUGAAAAACAUAAUAAUUUGUGGAAAUUGAUGUGAGUUGUGAAAUUUUGUGAGCAUUGUGUUUUUGAAUGAAAAUUUCAGCGUGGAUGCGUCGUGUCUUCGCUACAUUUGAUUCAGUAUAUAGACUGUAGAAUACGUAGUUACUAUUGCUG